RNAcentral lists this ribosomal RNA (2985 nucleotides) under Salmonella enterica. Its description in RNAcentral is "bacterial LSU rRNA". It matches the Rfam family "Bacterial large subunit ribosomal RNA". Lineage: Bacteria; Pseudomonadati; Pseudomonadota; Gammaproteobacteria; Enterobacterales; Enterobacteriaceae. The record is from RNAcentral.
UUAAGCGACUAAGCGUACACGGUGGAUGCCCUGGCAGUCAGAGGCGAUGAAGGGCGUGCUAAUCUGCGAUAAGCGCCGGUAAGGUGAUAUGAACCGUUAUAACCGGCGAUACCCGAAUGGGGAAACCCAGUGUGACUCGUCACACUAUCAUUAACUGAAUCCAUAGGUUAAUGAGGCGAACCGGGGGAACUGAAACAUCUAAGUACCCCGAGGAAAAGAAAUCAACCGAGAUUCCCCCAGUAGCGGCGAGCGAACGGGGAGGAGCCCAGAGCCUGAAUCAGCAUGUGUGUUAGUGGAAGCGUCUGGAAAGGCGCGCGAUACAGGGUGACAGCCCCGUACACAAAAGCGCAUGUGCUGUGAGCUCGAUGAGUAGGGCGGGACACGUGGUAUCCUGUCUGAAUAUGGGGGGACCAUCCUCCAAGGCUAAAUACUCCUGACUGACCGAUAGUGAACCAGUACCGUGAGGGAAAGGCGAAAAGAACCCCGGCGAGGGGAGUGAAAAAGAACCUGAAACCGUGUACGUACAAGCAGUGGGAGCACCCUUUGGGGUGUGACUGCGUACCUUUUGUAUAAUGGGUCAGCGACUUAUAUUCUGUAGCAAGGUUAACCGCAUAGGGGAGCCGGAGGGAAACCGAGUCUUAAUUGGGCGUUAAGUUGCAGGGUAUAGACCCGAAACCCGGUGAUCUAGCCAUGGGCAGGUUGAAGGUUGGGUAACACUAACUGGAGGACCGAACCGACUAAUGUUGAAAAAUUAGCGGAUGACCUGUGGCUGGGGGUGAAAGGCCAAUCAAACCGGGAGAUAGCUGGUUCUCCCCGAAAGCUAUUUAGGUAGCGCCUCGUGAAUUCAUCUCCGGGGGUAGAGCACUGUUUCGGCUAGGGGGCCAUCCCGGCUUACCAACCCGAUGCAAACUGCGAAUACCGGAGAAUGUUAUCACGGGAGACACACGGCGGGUGCUAACGUCCGUCGUGAAGAGGGAAACAACCCAGACCGCCAGCUAAGGUCCCAAAGUCAUGGUUAAGUGGGAAACGAUGUGGGAAGGCCCAGACAGCCAGGAUGUUGGCUUAGAAGCAGCCAUCAUUUAAAGAAAGCGUAAUAGCUCACUGGUCGAGUCGGCCUGCGCGGAAGAUGUAACGGGGCUAAACCAUGCACCGAAGCUGCGGCAGCGAACGUAUCACUUAAAGCGAUUCAGCGGGUUACGAUUGACGGAGCGAAGCGACGUCAAAGCGUAUACAAAGUCGAGUCGGUUUAAGGAUACGUUCGUUGGGUAGGGGAGCGUUCUGUAAGCCUGUGAAGGUGGCCUGUGAGGGUUGCUGGAGGUAUCAGAAGUGCGAAUGCUGACAUAAGUAACGAUAAAGCGGGUGAAAAGCCCGCUCGCCGGAAGACCAAGGGUUCCUGUCCAACGUUAAUCGGGGCAGGGUGAGUCGACCCCUAAGGCGAGGCCGAAAGGCGUAGUCGAUGGGAAACGGGUUAAUAUUCCCGUACUUGGUGUUACUGCGAAGGGGGGACGGAGAAGGCUAUGUUGGCCGGGCGACGGUUGUCCCGGUUUAAGCGUGUAGGUGUGUGUUCCAGGUAAAUCCGGUUCACUUUAACACUGAGGCGUGAUGACGAGGCACUACGGUGCUGAAGCAACAAAUGCCCUGCUUCCAGGAAAAGCCUCUAAGCAUCAGGUAACAUCAAAUCGUACCCCAAACCGACACAGGUGGUCAGGUAGAGAAUACCAAGGCGCUUGAGAGAACUCGGGUGAAGGAACUAGGCAAAAUGGUGCCGUAACUUCGGGAGAAGGCACGCUGACACGUAGGUGAAGUGAUUUACUCAUGGAGCUGAAGUCAGUCGAAGAUACCAGCUGGCUGCAACUGUUUAUUAAAAACACAGCACUGUGCAAACACGAAAGUGGACGUAUACGGUGUGACGCCUGCCCGGUGCCGGAAGGUUAAUUGAUGGGGUCAGCGCAAGCGAAGCUCCUGAUCGAAGCCCCGGUAAACGGCGGCCGUAACUAUAACGGUCCUAAGGUAGCGAAAUUCCUUGUCGGGUAAGUUCCGACCUGCACGAAUGGCGUAAUGAUGGCCAGGCUGUCUCCACCCGAGACUCAGUGAAAUUGAACUCGCUGUGAAGAUGCAGUGUACCCGCGGCAAGACGGAAAGACCCCGUGAACCUUUACUAUAGCUUGACACUGAACAUUGAGCCUUGAUGUGUAGGAUAGGUGGGAGGCUUUGAAGCGUGGACGCCAGUCUGCGUGGAGCCGGCCUUGAAAUACCACCCUUUAAUGUUUGAUGUUCUAACGUGGACCCGUGAUCCGGGUUGCGGACAGUGUCUGGUGGGUAGUUUGACUGGGGCGGUCUCCUCCUAAAGAGUAACGGAGGAGCACGAAGGUUGGCUAAUCCUGGUCGGACAUCAGGAGGUUAGUGCAAUGGCAUAAGCCAGCUUGACUGCGAGCGUGACGGCGCGAGCAGGUGCGAAAGCAGGUCAUAGUGAUCCGGUGGUUCUGAAUGGAAGGGCCAUCGCUCAACGGAUAAAAGGUACUCCGGGGAUAACAGGCUGAUACCGCCCAAGAGUUCAUAUCGACGGCGGUGUUUGGCACCUCGAUGUCGGCUCAUCACAUCCUGGGGCUGAAGUAGGUCCCAAGGGUAUGGCUGUUCGCCAUUUAAAGUGGUACGCGAGCUGGGUUUAGAACGUCGUGAGACAGUUCGGUCCCUAUCUGCCGUGGGCGCUGGAGAACUGAGGGGGGCUGCUCCUAGUACGAGAGGACCGGAGUGGACGCAUCACUGGUGUUCGGGUUGUCAUGCCAAUGGCACUGCCCGGUAGCUAAAUGCGGAAGAGAUAAGUGCUGAAAGCAUCUAAGCACGAAACUUGCCCCGAGAUGAGUUCUCCCUGAGACUUAGAGUCUCCUGAAGGAACGUUGAAGACGACGACGUUGAUAGGCCGGGUGUGUAAGCGCAGCGAUGCGUUGAGCUAACCGGUACUAAUGAACCGUGAGGCUUAACCUU